GACGAACGCUGGCGGCGUGGAUAAGGCAUGCAAGUCGAACGGGAUGGGGAUUCAAGCAAUUGUGUCCCUUGAGAGUGGCGAACGGGUGAGUAACACGUGGGUAACCUGCCCAUAAGAGGGGGAUAACAUCCGGAAACGGGUGCUAAUACCGCAUAGGUUUCUUGGUCGCAUGAUUGAGAAAGGAAAGGCGGCCUUUGUGCUGUCGCUUAUGGAUGGACCCGCGGCGUAUUAGUUAGUUGGUGAGGUAACGGCUCACCAAGACGAUGAUACGUAGCCGACCUGAGAGGGUGAUCGGCCACA
This 300-nucleotide ribosomal RNA is filed under the name uncultured bacterium. Its description in RNAcentral is "bacterial SSU rRNA". It matches the Rfam family "Bacterial small subunit ribosomal RNA", at positions 28 to 312 of the family's 1533-position model. The record is from RNAcentral.